This 274-nucleotide ribosomal RNA is filed under the name uncultured bacterium. RNAcentral's name for it is "partial 16S ribosomal RNA". It matches the Rfam family "Bacterial small subunit ribosomal RNA", at positions 523 to 796 of the family's 1533-position model. The record is from RNAcentral.
AUACAGAGGGUGCGAGCGUUAAUCGGAAUUACUGGGCGUAAAGCGCGCGUAGGCGGCUACUUAAGUCAGAUGUGAAAUCCCCGGGCUCAACCUGGGAACUGCAUCUGAUACUGGGUAGCUAGAGUUUAGGAGAGGGAAGUAGAAUUUCAGGUGUAGCGGUGAAAUGCAUAGAGAUCUGAAGGAAUACCAGUGGCGAAGGCGGCUUCCUGGCCUAAAACUGACGCUGAGGUGCGAAAGUGUGGGUAGCAAACGGGAUUAGAAACCCCAGUAGUCC